This 69-nucleotide transfer RNA is filed under the name Marmota monax (woodchuck). RNAcentral describes it as "tRNA.Gly". Lineage: Eukaryota; Metazoa; Chordata; Mammalia; Rodentia; Sciuridae. The record is from RNAcentral.
GGGGCUGUGGCUCAGAGGUAGAGUGCUCACCUACCAUGCGUGAGGCACAAUGUUUGAUCCCCAGCACCA